GCCGAGACUAGAGUCACAUCUGAACACUGCCUGUUGUCCUGGUGUGCUAGAGUACUCGGAAAGUAACCACUAAUCUCUAUUCGCUGGCUGUGACCAUUGUUGACUCAGUCAGUCACCAGGUUAGUGACAGGA
This is a small nucleolar RNA of Anser brachyrhynchus (Pink-footed goose), 132 nucleotides long. The record is from Ensembl. NCBI's taxonomy places the organism in Eukaryota, Metazoa, Chordata, Aves, Anseriformes, Anatidae.